UAUUGGUCAAUGGACGCGAGUCUGAACCAGCCAAGUAGCGUGAAGGAUGACUGCCCUAUGGGUGGUAAACUUCUUUUAUAUGGGAAUANNGUUUUCCACGUGUGGAAUUUUGUAUGUACCAUAUGAAUAAGGAUCGGCUAACUCCGUGUCAGACGCCGCGGUAAUACGGAGGAUUCGAGCGUUAUCCGGAUUUAUUGGGUUUAAAGGGAGCGUAGGUGGACAGUUAAGUCAGUUGUGAAAGUUUGCGGCUCAACCGUAAAAUUGCAGUUGAUACUGGCUGUCUUGAGUACAGUAGAGGUGGGCGGAAUUCGUGGUGUAGCGGUGAAAUGCUUAGAUAUCACGAAGAACUCCGAUUGCGAAGGCAGCUCACUGGACUGUUAACUGACACUGAGGCUCGAAAGUGUGGGUAUCAAACAG
RNAcentral lists this ribosomal RNA (417 nucleotides) under uncultured bacterium. RNAcentral's name for it is "bacterial SSU rRNA". It matches the Rfam family "Bacterial small subunit ribosomal RNA", at positions 362 to 775 of the family's 1533-position model. The record is from RNAcentral.